Molecule: RNA transcript, 4932 nt
Organism: Penaeus chinensis
Lineage: Eukaryota; Metazoa; Arthropoda; Malacostraca; Decapoda; Penaeidae
Gene name: leucine-rich repeat extensin-like protein 3
Exons: 6
Source: RefSeq, a predicted model, not a curated record
CAAUAGAGUGUAGCAAACACGACUAUGCUUGCUGCCUCUUUUGCCGAAGUGGCCCAAUGUCCCUGGUGCUCCGCAUUGAUCGCUCAGGUUUUGUUCCCGGGGAAAAUAUUAUCGUUAAUGCUGAGUGUUCCAACAUGACCAAUGUCAAGAUUAACUACACAAAAGCAGUUGUGCAUCAGACCAUAACAUACUAUGCUGAAGGGAGAAAGAAGAAGGACCAUCGGAAGGUUGCUGAACUCAAGCGCUUGGAAAUUCCCCCUGGAGAAGAUGAUAACUGGAACAACGUUGAGAUGUUGAUUCCAGCACUGCCUACCUCUCACCUACAAUUCUGCAACCUGAUUGACAUUGAUUACGAACUCAAGUUUGAAAUGUCCCCAUCCGGUUGCCACAUGGACCUAGAACACACAGCUCCUGUAAAGAUUGGCUCCAUACCUCUAGUGCAAUACUUCAGCAACUUUGUCCAAGGACCACCCACAAACUCAGCCCAACACAUGAAUCUGGCUUCAGUUCAGCCUCCAGUGCCUGCUUAUUUCCCUCCUGGUCAGCCCCCAUUACCAAAUUAUUCUCCAGCACCAGAACAGCACCCAGGGCUUGGCUUUGCUGCUAUACCAGGUCAACAGCCAGUGCCAGGUCAGCCUCCAGUGAUGAAUCCUCCUGUAGUACCAUAUCAGCCUCCAGUUCCAGGUCAACAACCAUUAAUAGGUCAAGCACCUGUGCCUGGUCAGCCACCAGUACCAGGUGAACCACAAAUGCCAGGUCAGCCUCCAGUGCCUGGAUAUGGUACUGGGCCAGGUCAGUCUUCAGUGUUGGGCUUUGCUCCAUCCAUACCAGGUCAGCAAGCAGUCCAGAUGCCCUCCAACAAUCCAGCCCAGCCUAGCAUAGCAGUGUCCAGUGUCGAUCAAAACACUUCGCCAUACAACCCCAACUUCCAAUCAGCAUCUUACCCCAUACCAGGGUCACCAAGAUUUCCAGGAGUCGUACAUUAUCCUCAAAUGCCCUUACCAACAUACAACCAGUGUAUGUUUGGAACGACCAGCAUUGCGGAGAUUGAUAGUGAUGUUGAUGAAGGCCAGAAUCAUAACGAAGUGGGAUUUGCACCUCAUUAUAUAUCCUAUAACCUUGUAAACUCCAAGAGGCUCCAGUCAGCUGCCUCUGUGGGCGAUACCGUAGGGGUCAUGGAUGGCAUAACCAGCGGAGUGAGUGACCUGCAUAUUCGCCAUGACAGUGGGAGCAGUGGUUCUAGUGGAGACCAUUAUCGUGGAGGUAGGGCAGGAUAUCUCAUUGUGAGGGCCAGUCUGUUCUUUGUGUCAUUGUGAAGUAAUGGCUGUGAUUUUUUGGCAUAAGUGGUGAUAUUUUUAGCACUUUUGAUUUGUAUUUUAUGUUUGGUUCAUUCAUUUAUUCAUUCUGUUGAUGUAGAUUGUCUUUUGUCAAUGGAAAUGCUAGUGUCAUUAUGACUUUAUCUUCAGGCUACAAGGCAGGUAAGUUCAGAAUGACAUAGCACGAAGUUUUCCAGUAGGGAUAAAAUUAGUUUUGGGUGUGGGGGCAAAAUUGAGCUGAAAUGGGUAGGUAUUAGUUCUCUGUUUUAGUUAUUAUGUGUAUGUGAUUUGUCUAUAGCAAGUAUUUAUUGUUAAGUCUUAGAUGUCAUUUUGCAUGGAAGUGAAUCAGAUUUAUGUGCUCAUAAGUGUCAAGUUGCUAAACAUAUAGGUAGUGUUGUUUUUAUGAAAUAUAAAGGAAUGAUCAUAGAUUAUUGUUGGAAUGCAGAAAUUGUAAUUUUGUUUUUGUUCAUACGUUUAUAUUGAUGUUACCUUAAUAUUUUUUUCUUUUCUUUUAUUUUAUUGCAUUAAUUUUUAUCUGAACAGGGUACCAGGCACAUAACUGACUUCAGAAGAACCGAUAAGGGAAUAGCAUUCCUUUCUUUGGCAGUAUGUAAGUGCAGCAUGUGAAAGGAGACCAGUUAUGGUUCUUUUGGAAAAAAAAUGUAGAAACUUUUAACACAGACGAAUGCUCUAACAGAAUGAAAAUUUAUUAAUAUAAGUACAAAUAUCAUUGAAUAUAAUUUAACCCCCAAAGUAUAUGUGUGGAGUUUUUUUUUUAAUAGAAAUGGAUUUUCUGUAGCAGAACAUGGAUUAGAAAGCUGUGCAUCAUAUAGUGAAGGUCAUGAUAAAAUAUUUGUUUAAUUUUAGGAAAAAAUGUUUGUCACAUAAAGUUAAACAGAAUAUGGAUAUACAGCCACAGAAACACUGAGGCAAUCCUUUACAUGUUUUCUUCUUGGGUUGCAAUAUGAAACUACAGUAAUUGGAUUUUUUUUUUUUUUUUUUUAAAUCUUUUCUGACCAUUUUGAUUAGAUUAGUGUGUCUUUUUAAUUACAAGCAUUAUACAUUGUUGUUAUUAGAUACUAAAUAUUGAUAUAAUGAUGUAAUUAGAUUUUACCACAAUACAUAUUAGUUUGAUUAUAAUAUAAAUUAAUUUCAUUGAAAGCACAAAUAUAUUUUGUACUGAGUGCUUGUAUACCUUAAUUAAUAUGAUACACAAACUGACUGUGUAAUGGGAAUUGAAAAUAGAUUCCUGUUUAAGAUCUAGAUUUUCAGCAUUUCCUGGCAGAAUGCUUUCCUCCAUGGUUAAGUAAUUUGCAUAAAGUAAUAAAUCUACAUAGUAUACCGUUAUUGGAUAUAUUCUGUAUUUUAAGUAUUUUUGUACUUUGGGGGUUGACUCAUUAGCUAUUAAGAAGAGAUAUUUGCAUCCUUCAAAGUGAAAAGAAAGUAAAAGCCUUAGUAGGAAAUAAUGAUUAUGUUUAUUUUUUACCAUCUUUUUACAUCCAGAAUUAGGAUUUGUUUUAAAGUAACCCGAUGAUGACUGGGAGAAGAUAAACCAUCUCCAGGUGUAUCCUCAAUGGUUAAGACAAGAUUAGAAACUAGUAUUUGCAUAUAUCAUGCCUGUGACUGUAUAUUUUCAUGGCUUGUCUCAUAGUCACUGGCAGUGAAUAAAACAUUACUUAUUAUUUCUUAUUUAUAUUUUACACUUGUUACUGGUUUCUGUAUAUCAUUCACAGAAUUCUUUUUAAUGUAUGUGUAAACUGUCCCUUCAGCCAAGACUAAUAAGUAAGAAUAACUUUUAUUUCUCUUUUACAUUAAUUACAAUACGAUAGUAUUGACAAAAAAAUCUUAUGGAGGUAUAAGUUCUUCAGGAUCCAGUCACUGAUUGCAGUGAAGUCAUACUCAUGCCAUACCUGCAAUACUAAGGUUAAUGUGCACCUGUGUAAUUUUUAAUGAGGUAAGGUUACUGGGUUAUUUUUUAAUUCAUUUACCAGCCAUAUGUGUUUUUUAUCAAGAAAAAAUUGAAGAUUUUUCUGGCCCAGAUGGACAUUUUAGCAUUGGUUAUUCAGCAAGGAAUCAAUUAAUAGGCCUUCAAGACCUUCCCUGAUGUUCCCCUUUUCUUGAUUUUUUGGGAGAGUUAAUUUUUUUCUUAUGCUGUUAACCAGUUGGAUGCCUUGUUAUCUCACACGACCCAAAAUUACCUGAGUGGCAACUCUUCUAGGUAUUCCUUGUAGGCCUUGCUCACACAAACACUUGAGUGCAGUUUCAACGCUCCUUACCUCCCCUUUACAGUGUUUUUUCCUCUCUUUCUGCAAAAUAAUUUUUUUGUUUUUUUUUGCCAUUUUUCAAGGUUUAUAUUUGUUAUUUUGAAAAGCUGUAACAUGAUGGUAAUAGCUGGUUUUCUUUGCACAGACUCCAUAUCCUCUCUCUAGGUAGUCUAUAACAAUAAUAAUAGAAAUAAGUAACAUUUCAUUAUUUGUGUCUUCUCUUUAAGAUGUAUUUUUGUAUUAUUCAAUUUUCUUAAAUACACCUUGUGCUGCUGGAAAUGGAGCCAACACUCUUCCAGCCAUGGCAUACAUAUAGUACAUUUCACUUAUUUACUGGUGGAAACAAUACAGGAGGCCCUUCCUAAAUGCCCACUGAGUCUAAUCUUCCUUCAUGAACUUUGUGCAGUUGUGGUGAGUCAUUCCCGUCACCACAGCCUUCAGUCAAAUUUUUCAUGAUGGCAUAUUCACAUCAUCCCAGCCCUCGGCCAAAUUUUUCCAUGUUGGCACAUUCCUGUCACUUGUCCCUUAGCCAAAUUUUGGUCAUGGUCUUCUCACCAGGUUUAAUGGAUUAACAUCAUUCAUUAUUGUUUUCGUUGUUGACUUUGGGCUGGUUAGAAAGUUAUUAUCACUACUAAUAGCAGUAAAAGAUAAAAAAUGAACAUCUCUCCAAAACAAAAGGGUAAACAGUGAGAUCAGGUAGUACUAAUAAUUGACUCCUUGGCGGCUAAACUCUUGUGGAGCCUUUGGUGUGUUAGCACUGAAAUGCUCAUAAGUUUUCAACAAAAACAUAGACAUACUAUUGUCAGUGUGAAAUUUGAGUUAGUUUCAUGUAAUUUUCCUUACUAAUUUCUUUACUCAGAUUUAGAACCGGCAAGUAUAAUCUGUGCUUUAUUGUGCAUGAAUAUUAUUACAAACUUGUGGCUAGGGAAUUUAUAAUUUGGCUGCCAUCAUCAUUGAAGAAUAUCAAUGUUAACAAAAAACAGCCCAGCAGCUAUUUUCUAGUUCUAGGUUAUCAGUACAGGAAAUAAACACAAGGGACCUCCAAAAAGACCUGCAAAAUUAGAUGGUUGAGAUUAACCUUUGAUAUUCUCAUCAUGAUGGAUUUUUUAUCCUUUCAUCACAUUAAUGGCAUGUUUUCACCAGUUUUUCUUCCUGUUAAGAUAAAGAGCAGCUGCUCACGACCACAGCAUGAGUCAUCAUCUGCAUGAUAGCUUAGGGGAUGCACCGCUCAUUGUCCACCAUCAUGAGCAUCACUCUAACUCUGACUCAGACAGCGAGAGACCAGCAGAGGCAGCGCAGACUAAAGAUACCGGCUUCAACACCAAGGACACUGAGACCAACGCCAAUGACAG